UAGGAUGUAGAAGAGCAUAA
Molecule: microRNA, 20 nt
Filed under: Hevea brasiliensis (rubber tree)
Lineage: Eukaryota; Viridiplantae; Streptophyta; Magnoliopsida; Malpighiales; Euphorbiaceae
Description: hbr-miR6485
Source: miRBase by way of RNAcentral